Coprobacillus sp. CAG:826 is the source of this 73-nucleotide non-coding RNA. The record is from Rfam. NCBI's taxonomy places the organism in Bacteria, Bacillati, Bacillota, Erysipelotrichia, Erysipelotrichales, Coprobacillaceae.
CACUAGCUACAACCGCUAAGAAAAGGUAACUAACAAUCGUAUGAUGACCUUCAUUGCGAGUCUAAGUGAAAUC